UUUUCUUUAUCUCCUUUCUCUUCCUCCCCUUUUUCCUUUUUCUCUCUUUGGCCUUGUUUGUAACCUGUUAUUGCACUGUCUCUUUGAGUGUUUUGUGCUUCUUUUUUUCCCCUUCUUGAUUCUGGUCCAUUUUUGAGGAUAUCUGUUACUUCCACUUAUUUUCUGCUACUUUUUAUUUGGUUUUUCUUGUCCAUGUUUCUUUAUAAGGGACACCUUUUUAACUGUCAUUGUUAUUUUCAUGUCUUGAUAACAUGGUUCUUCUUUUGGUGGUUCCCCGUCAUCCAUGAUUUCGUCUCCUUAUAUCAACUGUUAUAUUGAAAUUUCGUCAGUGCCGGUAACUGGGUAUUCGUUCUUGUACUCUUUCCUGAUCACCAAUAAAUGGGUUACUGCUCAUUUCUGAGUUCUGACAAUCCUUCUUCUCCAGUUUUUAGUUAUUCCUUUUGCUUCUUUUUUCAUGUAUAUCUUAUUGUCUUUUUAUUUUCCAGCACUCGAGCUUUUCUUUCAUUCAACCUUUAGAUUUUAUUCAUCUACCAGAUUUUUCUUUCUGCAGAUCAUGUUUGCUGCUUCUUUUAUCACUUCUUCCUCUGAUUUUUCUUUUUGUUACUUGCGAUUAUGUUUGCUAGUACGAUCACAACUCCAUAUCUUUCCACCAGCAAAAUUGCUUUCUUGAUUGCUGGAUCUUAUUAGAUUAAUUGUCAUCUCUGGCCUCUGGGUAUUGGGUUCACCAUUAUAUCCGCUGUUUCUUUCCUACAGACUUCUUUCUCUAUAUUUUUUUCAGUGUACCAAAACUAGGCUUUUGCUGAAUCUUUUAUCUUUUGGUGAUCUAGUGCUGCAGGCAGAGUAUCUUGAUGAAAACAAAUCAUUGAUUUUGAAGAUUGUUGACAGCCAGAAUUCGGGGAAACUCAGUGAGUGUGCAGAGAAUCAAGCAAGGCUACAGCGAAACCUCAUGUAUUUGGCUGCAAUUGCUGAUUCUCAACCCCAACCUCCUACCAUGCAUGCCCAGUUCCCUUCCAGCAGCAUUAUGCAGCCAGGAGCACCCUACAUGCAGCACCAACAAGCUCAACAAAUGACACCACAAUCCCUGAUGGCUGCACGAUCUUCCAUGCUAUACACUCAACAACAGUUUGCAGCACUGCAACAACAGCAAGCCUUGCACAGCCAGCUUGGCUUGAGCUCUGGUGGAAGCCCAGGACUUCAUAUGCUGCAGAGUGAGGCCGGCACUGCAGGAGGCAGCGGAGGGCUUGGGGCAGGAGGGUUUCCUGAUUUUGGAAGAGAUGCUGGAGGCAGAGGAAUGGCAUGUGGAAGUAAGCAAGAUAUUGGGAGUGCAGUGCCCACUGAAGGGCGAGGAGGCAACUCUGGAGGCGGCGGCAGUGACGGAGGUGAAACUCUUUACUUAAAAUCGGCUGAUGAUGGGAAUUGAGAGGAGAGAUGAUGAACCUGCUGGUUUGUUAACAAACCAACUUAGGAGAGUUAGUCAGGAGGUUGAUUUAGAAAAAGAAAAUGGGAAGGACUUGUUUGGAAAACUUGUAUGAUGCAAACCAAAAAAAGAAGGCCAGGACCUGAUCCCCCAAACCUUUGUCUUGGUUGUUUUAAUAUGGUUAGACUAUGAAUCUUGUGCUAGUGUAUCAUGUAAAUUUUAGGUAAUAUUCUGCUUUGCUUUGUUCUUGAUGUCAAUCUUGUGCUUGAACCAUCUUUCAGCUAGACUUUGCAUUUGCUGGCCAUGGAAAAAUUUGGAAGGUAUAUAUUUACUUGAGCUAUUAA
RNAcentral lists this unclassified non-coding RNA (1761 nucleotides) under Hevea brasiliensis (rubber tree). Lineage: Eukaryota; Viridiplantae; Streptophyta; Magnoliopsida; Malpighiales; Euphorbiaceae. The record is from RNAcentral.